RNAcentral lists this ribosomal RNA (863 nucleotides) under uncultured bacterium. Its description in RNAcentral is "bacterial SSU rRNA". It matches the Rfam family "Bacterial small subunit ribosomal RNA", at positions 11 to 916 of the family's 1533-position model. The record is from RNAcentral.
GUUUGAUCAUGGCUCAGGAUGAACGCUGGCGGUGUGCCUUAAGCAUGCAAGUCGAACGCUCCCGCGAGGGAGAGUGGCAGACGGGUGAGUAACACGUAGGAAUCUACCUCAAAGUGAGGAAUAGCUCGCCGAAAGGCGGGGUAAUACCUCAUGUAAUCGCAAGAUUAAAGACUUCGGUCGCUUUGAGAGGAGCCUGCGCGCUAUCAGCUUGUUGGUAGGGUAAAAGCCUACCAAGGCUAUGACGGCUAACCGAUGUGAGAGCAUGAUCGGUCACAAGGUCACUGAGACACGGGACCUACACCUACGGGUGGCAGCAACUGGGAAUAUUGCGCAAUGGGCGAAAGCCUGACGCAGCGACACCGCGUGUGGGAUGAAGCUCCUCGGAGUGUAAACCACUGUGGCGAGGGAGGAAUUUUGACAGUACCUCGCUAGAAAGCACCUGCUAACCACGUGCCAGAAGCCUCGGUAAUACGUGGGGUGCAAGCGUUAUCCGGAUUUACUGGGCGUAAAGCGUACCGUCGGCGUCCUAAUAAGUUGCUUGUUUAAGCCUGGGGCUCAACUCCAGAAAGGCAAGCAAAACUAUUAGGAUAGAGUUUGCUAGGGGAAGCUAGAAUUCUCGGUGGAGGGGUGAAAUCCGUAGAUAUCGAGAGGAAUGCCAAUCGCGAAGGCAAGCUUCUGGGGCAUAACUAACGCUCAUGGACGACAGCUAGGGUAGCAAAAGGGAUUAGAGACCCCCGUAGUCCUAGCCGUAAACUAUGUCUGCUAGCUAUUCCUCCUUCAUGGGGGAGUAACGUAAGCUAACGCGUUAAGCAGACCGCCUGGGGAGUACGGGCCGCAAGGCUAAAACUCAAAUGAAUUGACGG